UCUGGGAAACACUCAAGGAGGCGAUCGUGGCCUACACGGGCCUAUCUCCGGCGACCUUCUUCACACUCCUGGCUCUUCUCGUCGCCGCUUACCAUAUCCUCUCCGGGCUCUUUGGGCCGUCGGAGACCCACCACCAGCCCAGAAACCUGGAGGAGAUGCAGCCUCUGCUGCCGCCGGUCCAGGUCGGCGAGGUCACCGAGGAGGAGCUCAAGCAGUACGACGGAACCGAUCCCAAGAAGCCUCUGCUUAUGGCCAUCAAGGGUCAGAUCUAUGACGUGUCUCAGAGCAGGUAGCUAAUUGAGAUUUUCAAUUUAGGGUUUAGGGUUUUAGUAACUGGGGUUUUUGAUUGUUGUGCUUGUUUGAUUUGUGAAGUAGUCAACUGGGUUUCUGUUUUGGUGUUGUUGUGUUAUGUGGUGGUUUUGAAGUUGGGGACUUUAUCUCUGUGAUUGAUGAAUUGAUAGAUGAUAAAGAGUUAGAGCUGGAAAUUGUUUCAGUUUGGGGAUUGGAUUGCGAUUUUUCGAUGUGGGUUUAGUGAUCAUUGAUGACUAUGUAUGUGGUUUAACUAGUUGAUGUUGCAUGUUGAGUCUGAUAGUUGUGAUUGGGAAGGUGGUUGUUUUUCAUUCAUGCAAUCGAUAAGAAAGUGUUUCUAUCUAGCUCGUAUGUGUUUGAGGUUUUGAAGUUGGUGAAGUUUGUGAAGUGUUUGGUCUUUGUUCUUAUCCAGCUUUUGCUUAUAUAUGUUAAGAAGCCCAUGUUUUCUGUUCAAGUUGGUUUCUGUAGAGUUAUAUUUGUUGUUUUGACCUUAUUCAAAUCUAAGGUAGUGUGUAUUGGGUCACUCUGUCACAGUAUCACUGGUUGCUUUACAAGUGAUACUGAAGUGUGAAAUGAUUUUAGGAUGUUGAUUGGUGAUCUCGGAUCGAACUGUGUUUUGAAUUGUCAAAUGACAUUGGGAUUUAUCAGCUUAUCUGAGUUUGUUUUUUGAAGUGUGAUUGGGAUUUAUCAGCUUAUCUGAGUUUGUUUUUUGAAGUGUGAUUGAGAUUUAGCAGCUUAAGAUGCAUUCUAUAAUUAACUUUCUAGACAUCUUCAGUGUGGUUCAGCAACAUCAGAUGAGUUGAUAUUUUUUUUUUCUUGUUUAACUAUCUGUAUCUUAUAAGGGGCGGUCUAUGGCCAAUAAGUAGUUUAAUGGCUACUUGGACUAGUCAUAUGCUGUCUUAAAUAGAUUUCCUUUUCACGUCACUCUUAAACAAGGUUCUAAUCUGUUACUUCUGGACCACUUUUGCAGGAUGUUUUAUGGACCUGGAGGUCCUUAUGCUCUAUUUGCAGGAAAAGAUGCUAGCAGGGCUCUUGCAAAAAUGUCUUUUGAAGACAAAGAUCUCACUGGUGAUACCACUGGUCUUGGUCCUUUUGAGCUUGAGGCCUUGCAAGAUUGGGAAUAUAAGUUCAUG
This 1442-nucleotide long non-coding RNA is filed under the name Fragaria vesca (wild strawberry). RNAcentral's name for it is "long non-coding RNA (FVES_LNC003939)". The record is from RNAcentral. Lineage: Eukaryota; Viridiplantae; Streptophyta; Magnoliopsida; Rosales; Rosaceae.